CUGACCUUGUAAUCCGGCUGCCUCAGCCUCCCAAAGUGCUGGGAUUACAAGCGUGAGCCACUGCGCCCGGCCUAGUUGAGGAGUAAAUGGACUGGAUUAAAGUUAAACCAUAACCCCAAAUUCAGGUUCUUACUAAACCUCUUCAAAGAAAUGGCAGCAUGAUGAGCUUUGAAAAUGUGAAAGAAAAGAGCAGAGAAGGAGGGCCCCAUGCACACACACCCGAAGAAGAAUUGUGUUUCGUGGUAACACACUACCCUCAGGUUCAGACCACACUCAACCUGUUUUUCCAUAUAUUCAAGGUUCUUACUCAACCACUUUCCCUUCUGUGGGGUUGUGAUCAGAAGCCUCGUACUGUUCCUACCCUUGGAAACGGCGCAUGGGAUACCUGCCAACAACACAUACGCACUUCAUCAUGGACAGCAAACACACUCGUCAUUCAAAACCAGCAUUCACGGGAAAGCACUGUUUCUGUUUGCCUUUUUAUGUUAAUCCGCAUGCAACAUAUUUUGAAAACAGAUACACUUCAACAGUUCAGAAUAUGCUAGUACUAAUAAAACCAACAUGUUACAUGCUGAAGUAAUUGCUCAAUUCAGUAAAACCCCUAGACCCUCGGCAAACAAAUGUGAAAUUCAAGAAAAUUUUAAAUGAUUAUCUCAUCAAAGACCCCCCAGGGCAACAAAGAAUCCUGGGAGGGGGUGGCUUGUUCAAGGGUCAUUGUAUGUCAACGGCUUCAGGAACUUGGCACGGUCUGGAGACCCCCAGCAAAGAAAAAUGUUUCCUCUGGGGAGCUCAUUCUUGGGUUUCUCAAACCCCUGGUUUGAAAACUAAGGUUUCAUGUCUUUACCUCUAGUAGAUCUAAUGUCCAUAUGUCUUACUGUAAAACCAGGACUUUGACCCAACCCAUGAUUAACUUGCCUUUCAAGAAGUACCUGAGACACAAUACCAGAGGCGCCAUUCCAUGGUGAAUACUUGAAUGUAUACCUGAAGAAAAAGUCUCUUGUUUUAAAAAUUAAACAGCACACUUAACACAGUCAA
RNAcentral lists this long non-coding RNA (1035 nucleotides) under Homo sapiens (human). Its description in RNAcentral is "HSALNT0337721". Lineage: Eukaryota; Metazoa; Chordata; Mammalia; Primates; Hominidae. The record is from RNAcentral.